UUCGCCCUUGUGCCAGCCGCCGCGGUCAUACGGAGGAUCCGAGCGUUAUCCGGAUUUAUUGGGUUUAAAGGGUGCGCAGGCGGCAUGUUAAGUCGGCGGUGAAAUUUUGCAGCUCAACUGUAAAAGAGCCUUCGAAACUGGCAAGCUUGAGUGUGGAUGAAGUAGGCGGAAUUUGUGGUGUAGCGGUGAAAUGCAUAGAUAUCACAAAGAACACCGAUUGCGCAGGCAGCUUACUAAACCAUAACUGACGCUCAUGCACGAAGGCGUGGGGAUCAAACAGGAUUAGAUACCCUGGUAGUCCACGCAGUAAACGAUGAUUACUGGCUGUUUGCGAUACAAUGUAAGCGGCUGAGCGAAAGCGUUAAGUAAUCCACCUGGGGAGUACGUUCGCAAGAAUGAAACUCAAAGGAAUUGACGGGGGCCCGCACAAGCGGAGGAACAUGUGGUUUAAUUCGAUGAUACGCGAGGAACCUUACCCGGGCUUGAAAUGCAUCUGACGUAUUCGGAAACGGAUAUUCCCUACGGGGCAGAUGUGUAGGUGCUGCAUGGUUGUCGUCAGCUCGUGCCGUGAGGUGUCGGCUUAAGUGCCAUAACGAGCGCAACCCUCAUCGUCAGUUACCAUCAGGUAAAGCUGGGGACUCUGGCGAGACUGCCAUCGUAAGAUGCGAGGAAGGUGGGGAUGACGUCAAAUCAGCACGGCCCUUACGUCCGGGGCGACACACGUGUUACAAUGGGUGGUACAAAGGGCAGCUACCUGGCGACAGGAUGCUAAUCUCCAAAACCACUCUCAGUUCGGAUCGGAGUCUGCAACUCGACUCCGUGAAGCGGAUUCGCUAGUAAUCGCGCAUCAGCAACGGCGCGGUGAAUACGUUCCCGGGC
RNAcentral lists this ribosomal RNA (879 nucleotides) under uncultured bacterium. Its description in RNAcentral is "bacterial SSU rRNA". It matches the Rfam family "Bacterial small subunit ribosomal RNA", at positions 493 to 1379 of the family's 1533-position model. The record is from RNAcentral.